This 69-nucleotide transfer RNA is filed under the name Robinsia catherinae. Its description in RNAcentral is "tRNA-Phe". It matches the Rfam family "tRNA". From Rfam's summary of the family: Transfer RNA (tRNA) molecules are approximately 80 nucleotides in length. Their secondary structure includes four short double-helical elements and three loops (D, anti-codon, and T loops). Lineage: Eukaryota; Metazoa; Chordata; Actinopteri; Anguilliformes; Chlopsidae. The record is from RNAcentral.
GCCAAUGUAGCUUAAGCCAAAGCAUGGCACUGAAGAUGCCAAGAUGAUCUGUAAAAAGUUCCAAUGGCA